This 210-nucleotide unclassified non-coding RNA is filed under the name fungal sp. Its description in RNAcentral is "partial internal transcribed spacer region". The stretch from base 1 to 46 matches the Rfam family "Eukaryotic small subunit ribosomal RNA", at positions 1786 to 1831 of the family's 1831-position model. The record is from RNAcentral. Lineage: Eukaryota; Fungi.
AAGUCGUAAUAAGGUUUCCGUAGGUGAACCUGCGGAAGGAUCAUUCGCAAUAAAUGGGUUUUUUUAUAAUUCAUAGAAGAAAAAAAAAUCCUUUACCACCUUGAGUGCAAUGUAUGAGAAAAGGGGCCAUUUGGCUUGUCUGAAAUAAACAUAUUCUUUGAAUAACUUAAUUCAAUAAUACAACUUUCAACAACGGAUCUCUUGGCUCUC